GGAGAGGUGCAGGAGUGGUUGAACUGUCUCCCCUGAAAAGCGAGUAUACGCCAAAAGCGAUUCGGGGGUUCGAAUCCCUUCCUCUCCG
RNAcentral lists this transfer RNA (88 nucleotides) under Marinifilum sp. D737. RNAcentral's name for it is "tRNA-Phe". It matches the Rfam family "tRNA". From Rfam's summary of the family: Transfer RNA (tRNA) molecules are approximately 80 nucleotides in length. Their secondary structure includes four short double-helical elements and three loops (D, anti-codon, and T loops). Further hydrogen bonds mediate the characteristic L-shaped molecular structure. tRNAs have two regions of fundamental functional importance: the anti-codon, which is responsible for specific mRNA codon recognition, and the 3' end, to which the tRNAs corresponding amino acid is attached (by aminoacyl-tRNA synthetases). tRNAs cope with the degeneracy of the genetic code in two manners: having more than one tRNA (with a specific anti-codon) for a particular amino acid; and 'wobble' base-pairing, i.e. permitting non-standard base-pairing at the 3rd anti-codon position. The record is from RNAcentral. Lineage: Bacteria; Pseudomonadati; Bacteroidota; Bacteroidia; Marinilabiliales; Marinifilaceae.